GAUGAACGCUGGCGGCGUGCCUAAUACAUGCAAGUCGAGCGAACAGACGAGGAGCUUGCUCCUCUGACGUUAGCGGCGGACGGGUGAGUAACACGUGGAUAACCUACCUAUAAGACUGGGAUAACUUCGGGAAACCGGAGCUAAUACCGGAUAAUAUAUUGAACCGCAUGGUUCAAUAGUGAAAGACGGUUUUGCUGUCACUUCUAGAUGGAUCCGCGCCGCAUUAGCUAGUUGGUAAGGUAACGGCUUACCAAGGCGACGAUGCGUAGCCGACCUGAGAGGGUGAUCGGCCACACUGGAACUGAGACACGGUCCAGACUCCUACGGGAGGCAGCAGUAGGGAAUCUUCCGCAAUGGGCGAAAGCUUGACGGAGCAACGCCGCGUGAGUGAUGAAGGUCUUCGGAUCGUAAAACUCUGUUAUUAGGGAAGAACAAAUGUGUAAGUAACUAUGCACGUCUUGACGGUACCUAAUCAGAAAGCCACGGCUAACUACGUG
RNAcentral lists this ribosomal RNA (497 nucleotides) under uncultured bacterium. Its description in RNAcentral is "partial 16S ribosomal RNA". It matches the Rfam family "Bacterial small subunit ribosomal RNA", at positions 28 to 507 of the family's 1533-position model. The record is from RNAcentral.